RNAcentral lists this ribosomal RNA (206 nucleotides) under uncultured bacterium. RNAcentral describes it as "partial 16S ribosomal RNA". It matches the Rfam family "Bacterial small subunit ribosomal RNA", at positions 568 to 774 of the family's 1533-position model. The record is from RNAcentral.
CGCGCAGGCGGCCAAGUCAGUCGAAUGUGAAAGCCCCCGGCUUAACUGGGGAGGGUCAUUCGAUACUGCUCGGCUCGAAGACAGGAGAGGGAAGUGGAAUUCCCGGUGUAGUGGUGAAAUGCGUAGAUAUCGGGAGGAACACCAGUGGCGAAGGCGACUUUCUGCCUGUUCUUGACGCUGAGGCGCGAAAGCUAGGGGAGCAAACG